RNAcentral lists this ribosomal RNA (1614 nucleotides) under Escherichia coli. RNAcentral's name for it is "partial 23S ribosomal RNA". It matches the Rfam family "Bacterial large subunit ribosomal RNA", at positions 1349 to 2925 of the family's 2925-position model. Lineage: Bacteria; Pseudomonadati; Pseudomonadota; Gammaproteobacteria; Enterobacterales; Enterobacteriaceae. The record is from RNAcentral.
GGGUUCCUGUCCAACGUUAAUCGGGGCAGGGUGAGUCGACCCCUAAGGCGAGGCCGAAAGGCGUAGUCGAUGGGAAACAGGUUAAUAUUCCUGUACUUGGUGUUACUGCGAAGGGGGGACGGAGAAGGCUAUGUUGGCCGGGCGACGGUUGUCCCGGUUUAAGCGUGUAGGCUGGUUUUCCAGGCAAAUCCGGAAAAUCAAGGCUGAGGCGUGAUGACGAGGCACUACGGUGCUGAAGCAACAAAUGCCCUGCUUCCAGGAAAAGCCUCUAAGCAUCAGGUAACAUCAAAUCGUACCCCAAACCGACACAGGUGGUCAGGUAGAGAAUACCAAGGCGCUUGAGAGAACUCGGGUGAAGGAACUAGGCAAAAUGGUGCCGUAACUUCGGGAGAAGGCACGCUGAUAUGUAGGUGAAGUCCCUCGCGGAUGGAGCUGAAAUCAGUCGAAGAUACCAGCUGGCUGCAACUGUUUAUUAAAAACACAGCACUGUGCAAACACGAAAGUGGACGUAUACGGUGUGACGCCUGCCCGGUGCCGGAAGGUUAAUUGAUGGGGUCAGCGCAAGCGAAGCUCUUGAUCGAAGCCCCGGUAAACGGCGGCCGUAACUAUAACGGUCCUAAGGUAGCGAAAUUCCUUGUCGGGUAAGUUCCGACCUGCACGAAUGGCGUAAUGAUGGCCAGGCUGUCUCCACCCGAGACUCAGUGAAAUUGAACUCGCUGUGAAGAUGCAGUGUACCCGCGGCAAGACGGAAAGACCCCGUGAACCUUUACUAUAGCUUGACACUGAACAUUGAGCCUUGAUGUGUAGGAUAGGUGGGAGGCUUUGAAGUGUGGACGCCAGUCUGCAUGGAGCCGACCUUGAAAUACCACCCUUUAAUGUUUGAUGUUCUAACGUGGACCCGUGAUCCGGGUUGCGGACAGUGUCUGGUGGGUAGUUUGACUGGGGCGGUCUCCUCCUAAAGAGUAACGGAGGAGCACGAAGGUUGGCUAAUCCUGGUCGGACAUCAGGAGGUUAGUGCAAUGGCAUAAGCCAGCUUGACUGCGAGCGUGACGGCGCGAGCAGGUGCGAAAGCAGGUCAUAGUGAUCCGGUGGUUCUGAAUGGAAGGGCCAUCGCUCAACGGAUAAAAGGUACUCCGGGGAUAACAGGCUGAUACCGCCCAAGAGUUCAUAUCGACGGCGGUGUUUGGCACCUCGAUGUCGGCUCAUCACAUCCUGGGGCUGAAGUAGGUCCCAAGGGUAUGGCUGUUCGCCAUUUAAAGUGGUACGCGAGCUGGGUUUAGAACGUCGUGAGACAGUUCGGUCCCUAUCUGCCGUGGGCGCUGGAGAACUGAGGGGGGCUGCUCCUAGUACGAGAGGACCGGAGUGGACGCAUCACUGGUGUUCGGGUUGUCAUGCCAAUGGCACUGCCCGGUAGCUAAAUGCGGAAGAGAUAAGUGCUGAAAGCAUCUAAGCACGAAACUUGCCCCGAGAUGAGUUCUCCCUGACCCUUUAAGGGUCCUGAAGGAACGUUGAAGACGACGACGUUGAUAGGCCGGGUGUGUAAGCGCAGCGAUGCGUUGAGCUAACCGGUACUAAUGAACCGUGAGGCUUAACCUUACAACGCCGAAGGUGUUU